This is a small nuclear RNA of Cricetulus griseus (Chinese hamster), 139 nucleotides long. Its record names the gene U1. It matches the Rfam family "U1 spliceosomal RNA". Rfam says of the family: U1 is a small nuclear RNA (snRNA) component of the spliceosome (involved in pre-mRNA splicing). Its 5' end forms complementary base pairs with the 5' splice junction, thus defining the 5' donor site of an intron. The record is from Ensembl. NCBI's taxonomy places the organism in Eukaryota, Metazoa, Chordata, Mammalia, Rodentia, Cricetidae.
GUACUUAACAGAGGCAAUAACAUGAUCAUGAAGGUUAUCUAUUAUAUUCCAGGUGUGCUGACCCUGAGGUUGCCUCAAAUGCUGGAAACUCAACUGCAUAGUCUGUGGUACUGGGAGACGGCAUUCAUGUUCACCCCUG